GAUAGGUUAAUUCAGUGGUAGAAUUCCCGGCUCUUCACCCGGGCUGACGCAGGUUCGAGCCCUGCACCUAUCCCA
Molecule: transfer RNA, 75 nt
Filed under: Chryseobacterium luteum
Lineage: Bacteria; Pseudomonadati; Bacteroidota; Flavobacteriia; Flavobacteriales; Weeksellaceae
Description: tRNA-OTHER
Rfam family: tRNA
About the family: Transfer RNA (tRNA) molecules are approximately 80 nucleotides in length. Their secondary structure includes four short double-helical elements and three loops (D, anti-codon, and T loops).
Source: RNAcentral